GAACCGAUGGGUUCCUUUCCAAAGGCGGUCCUGCCGCCGCAAGAGGAUGGGGCUGCGUCCUAUUAGCUAGUAGGUGAGGUAACGGCCCACCAAGGCUUCGAUGGGUAGCUGGUCUGAGAGGACGGCCAGCCACAUUGGGACUGAGACACGGCCCAGACUCCUACGGGAGGCAGCAGUGGGGAAUCUUGGCCAAUGGACGAAAGUCUGAGCCAGCGACACCGCGUGGGGGAUGAAGGCCUUCGGGUUGUAAACCUCUUUUCUGGGGAAAGAAUAAGGACGGGAGGAAAUGCCCGCCCGAUGACGGUACUCCAGGAAUAAGCAUCGGCUAACUCUGUGCCAGCAGCCGCGGUAAGACAGAGGAUGCAAGCGUUAUCCGGAAUUACUGGGCGUAAAGGGCGUCUAGGCGGUUCGGUAAGUCGUUUGUGAAAUCCCUCGGCUCAACCGAGGAGAGUCUUGCGAUACUGCCGGGCUUGGGUGCAGGAGAGGAGGGUGGAACUCACAGAGUAGCGGUGGAAUGCGUAGAUACUGUGAGGUACCCCGAUGGCGAAGGCAACCCUCUGGCCUGCUACCGACGCUGAAGCGCGAAAGCGUGGGGAGCAAAGGGGAUUAGAUACCCCCGUAGUCCACGCCCUAAACAAUGUUCACUUGGUGUCGGCCGCUUAUACUGGUCGGUGCCGAAGCUAACGCGUUAAGUGAACCGCCUGAGGAGUACGGCCGCAAGGCUAAAACUCAAGAGAAUUGACGGGUCCCUGCACAAGCGGUGGAGCACGUGGUUUAAUUCGACGAUAAACGAAGAACCUCACCCAGGCUUGACAUACUAGUGGUAGGAACCUGAAAGGGGGACGACUCUGCCUUCGGGUAGAGAGCUAGUACAGGUGAUGCAUGGCUGUCGUCAGCUCGUGUCGUGGGAUGUUGGGUUCAGUCCCGAAACGAGCGCAACCCUUGUCGUUAGUUGCCAGCGGGUAAUGCCGGGGACUCUAACGAGACUGCUGGUGAAUAGCCGGAGGAAGGCGGGGAUGACGUCAAGUCAUCAUGUCCCUUACGCCUGGGGCGACACACAUGCUACAAUGGGGGGUACAGAGGGUCGCAAUCCCGUAAGGGGGAGCCAAUCCAUAAAAGCCCCUCCCAGUUCGGAUUGAGGUCUGCAACUCGACCUCAUGAAGCCGGAAUCGCUAGUAAUCGCGGGUCAGCCAUACCGCGGUGAAUAUGUACUCAGGGAUUGUACACACCGCCCGUCACACCAACCGAGUGGGGGGUACCUGAAGUCGCUCUUCUAAGAGCGCCUAGGGUAACUUCCGCAAGG
This 1303-nucleotide ribosomal RNA is filed under the name metagenome. RNAcentral's name for it is "bacterial SSU rRNA". It matches the Rfam family "Bacterial small subunit ribosomal RNA", at positions 183 to 1476 of the family's 1533-position model. The record is from RNAcentral.